AUUUACUUCAGUUCCUUCUCAUGAAGGAAAUUUCCUUGGCUUGGAAAGGCCGAGGGAAAUUUCUUGUUUGGAUCCUUGUCGCAUUUUGUGCUCUAAUUUUGCUUUUCCUAUUCUCUUCUGUGGUUAGCAUACCAGUCCUCAUCAGAAUGAGCGUAUGCCUGCAUCCAGGAUUUGCAUACUACAGAACCAGCUCUGUCAUCUCACCUCUUCUAAGCUGACUCAUGGAGCAAAUGUGCCAGCAGAUGCCCAUGGCCCAGUGACCACGGGCAGUUUUCCUGCUCAGCCACACGCCUUUGAGAAAAGCCUAUCUGGGAAGGAGCUGCCCACCAGGGAGAACCAGGGGCUGGGAGCCUUCACCCCAGGACCGGAGACAUGGCAGGUCUGGACCAGCUGCUACCCAGACCACCUGCGGGUGGGAGAGAACCCCAUAGAUGGUGAGACUGGAGGCUCCCUUGCCUCUCAGCAGGUGAAGGGAGAGAAGAGAGGCACAUCUUCUCUGGGCAGGACUGUCCCAGCCAGAGGCACUCAACCCCCAUCGGCCCCAGCCUUUCUCACAUUUUUGGAAGCAUUGUUUUUAUUGGUAAAUACACCUAACGUACAUAAACUUGCAUAAAAGUGUGUGUCCAGUUGAAUGAAGAAUUAUGACGUGGACACCUGGGUAAUACGCCUUAGGUCAGGGACUAGACUAGAACUUGCACCCUGGAAGCCCCUGUGUGUGUCUCCCUGGCCAAACCCUUCCUCCUCGCAGGGUCACCGUCCUCUUAGCUUUUAGGAUGGUCAUCUCUUUUCUUUCCUUUAUAGUCUGAUCGCUUAUGUAUGUAUUCUUAAACAAUACACUUUAGCUUUGGCUGUUUUUCAGCUUGAUAGAAAUGGAAUCAUAUUGUAUGGAUGUUUUUUUCUUUUUUUUUUUUUUUGAGACAGAAUCUCACUCUGUCUCACAGGCUGGAGUGCAGUGGCGCAAUCUUGGCUCAUUAUAACCUUCACCUCCUGGGUUCAAGCAAUUCUCCUGCCUCAGACUCCCAAGAAGCUGGGAUUACAGAUGCCCGCCACCAUGCCCGGCUAAUUUUUGUAUUUUUAGUAGAGGUGGGGUUUCACCAUGUUGGCCAGGCUGAUCUUGAACUCCUGACCUCAAAUAAUCCACCCACCUCGGCCUCCCAAAGUGUUGGGAUUACAGGCAUGAGCCACCAAGCCCAGCCUGUAUUAUUUUAUCUUGCUUCUUUCCUUCGACAUUGCUUUUUGAGAUGCAUCUACUGAGGUAUGUGUGGCUUAAGUUCACUGAGUUUUCAUUGCGGUAUAGAAUUUUCUUGUGUGAAUCUGCCACAACUACUUAUUCACUUCCCUGUAAAUGGAAAAUUGGCUGUGGAAUGGGUUGUUAGCAGUGGACAAGGCUGUGAUGGAUAUUUCCGAGGGUGAGUCACUGUGCACACGUGCUCAAGUUUCUCCAUAGUCUGCACCUAGAAUUGGAAGUUCUGGAUUUCCAUAUCCAUAAUUUUAAACAUAAAGCAACUCUUUUCCAAAGGGAUAAAUUGGGUUGUCCAAAUCUUCAUUAAUUUGUCUAUUUAUUAUUUUAGUUUUGUUAUUUUUUUGCAUUGUAUAUUUCGAAGCUAUGUUAUUAAUACAUAAAAUUAUAUCUUUUGGUGAAUUAAGCAUAUUCAAAAACACUUUUGGCUUACAUUCAAAAAUGUCCGUGAGAGCACUGUGCGCUGCCAACACUGAGCAACAGCCCCGGGUAGAAAACUCACCAAAUGGUAUCUUUGUAUCAUUAAGAAGUGACCCAAAUGAUCUCUGCUAAUGCCUUUUGCUUUUAAACCUAGGUUGAAUUUGUAACCUUGUUGCCUCAGGAUCUAGGAAAAAGAGACCACAAGACAGCAAAGUUGGUAAGUGUGAGCCAUAGAAGGUUGGAGAGAGGAGCAAGGUUGCUCCCCAGUGAGGGUCUUGGCCCCUCUCCCUUCUCUUCGGAGAUGGCAUGUUAUUAUAAUUCCUCCAGGCUCAGGGAUGAAGAAGUGUCCUCAGUUCUCUCCCUCAGGGGAACUGGAAUGAGGCAGAGGAGGUGGAGCAAAAACUUGAGGACAGCCAUGUGCACCUGCCGGUUCCCGGAAGCCAAGCAACAGAGACCCAUUUGCACACAGCCAUGGCCUCUCCACAUGCUCACCCACCACCCCAGGGGAGUUGGUGGCUGGCGCCUCCCUUCCUGAAUUUUUUUCUUGCAUGUUGAUUUUCCUUUAGCUCUGGGUGCGAGAAUGCUCUCAGGUACUGUAUUACAAUGAUGUGCUUCCUCUCAGCUCACACACAGGGCCAGAUAUUUGUCAAUUUCGUUGUUCUUUCAUUCACGUAUAUAUUAAUCAGUCAGUCAACAAGUGCUAAUUGAGUACAGGCAUUGGGCUGUUCCGAUUCUUCUUUUUAAGUUUCGUGGUCACUGUUUAUGGACACUAGACAACAUUGUCUUUGAAAGACCAGAGAUGCACUCUGAGGUCCUGUGGUGGCCAGGAAGGCUUUGGCCAGUCAGUAGGGGAGGGCGAGCAAGUGGGUUUCCCCACUUCCUUGGACUCUUCUCUUUGCAAGUUGGAACCUCUGAUGUGAACAUUUCUUGCUACAGGGUAACUCUACUCCUGAGAACCAAGAAGGCUGGUGACAGGAAAAUGCCCCCCUGAAGCUGGCUGGGGAUCUCACUUAGGGGCGACAUAAAGUGAGGAGUGUGCUGCCAAAUGUCCCUGAUUCUUUCUCCCCAAACUAACAAGAUCUUAAUGAAGCUUCACUCCGGCAGACAAUACAGGGAUAAGCUAACUGCCAGUUGCUGGGGGGCUUCUAGAGGCCAAGGCUUUAACAGCCACCAUCCAGUCAUGGGAAGGCUAGGAUUGGGAAGUGGAAUUGUAUUGCCAAAGUGGAUGCUUUUGAGAGUUAAAGAGGUGCUAUUAAUACAUAUAAAGGAAUAACAGCUGUAAACCAGAACUGUCUCAGGCAAACUGCGAUAUACGAUCACCCUUUCUAGAAUGGUGUUUUUCAGAAGCAAUCUGCAAUGAAAAAACAAUGUAGUCUGCUUUUCGGAAUGUAACUCAGAACUCCUGCUGACUAACAGGAAUCCUCCCAGACAAAUCUGGCUCCUCCUUCCAUUUCCCCCAGAGCACAGAGCAAGAGCACCGCCCCAGACACUGCUGGGUUGGGGCCACUUUGUAAAGCCACUCUGGACUUCCAGGACGUGCACAAGAUGCGUGCAGUGCUCCCCCGGGGAAGGAGCCACCAGCCUGGAAUCUCAGGGACUCUUUGAAGAUGUGCAGGCAGGACGGAGGAAAUUCUUGCCGCUCGGUGGGGUCAGAACACGGGCCUUUGCUCCACACUGACAUUUCCUUCAAAGGUCAAGAAUGAGUUUGGGCUUUGUAGCUGUUUUGCCAAAAUAUGAUUUAGGGGAAGUUCCAAGCCCGGAGAUUCAGUUUUUAAGUCUGCUGUCUCCUGUUUCCAGGCCACGGUGCAUUCACUGAUAGUAUUUUUAGAAGAGGACCUUUGACAAUGGAAAGGCAGGUAUGACCGCAGGGUGAUUCACUGGCUGUGCCUCUGCACUGUCUGUCUUGGGGGCUGGGCAUGAGGUCCCGGACGUGUGUGGAUCACAGAGGGGCAUGGGCUGGUACCAUGGAGCAGGCAGGAACCCAGAGCACUAUAACUGCGCCGUGAGCUCUUAGGUAGACCAGAGAGGUGAGGCAGGAACCUGCAAUUUGGAUGUACUUGCAGAGCUGGGAUGGCACUGACACAGCCUCCUGUGUCACCGCUUCCAUCUCUGUGCGUGGGUCAGAAUGAGUACCAAAACACACGCAGGAUCAUGACCCACCUCCCACCUGCCCCCUUGCCUUGCCGUCAAGCCUGACUGCCGAGACGCCACGUGUGUAGUUCUAUGUGUGCUUGGGUACUCAAUAGAGAGACAGCUGAGAUCUGCUCAGCUUUCUGCUUCCAACAAAUGUCCCACCUUCUGAGACUUACCAGAUGCAAAACCCAGAAUUCUCCUCCUAGUGAGAGGGAGCUGCCCUGCAGGAAUGGCCAGGCACUGGCUGACCCUCCGGGCUGAGGCGAUGACAACCAGGAAAGAUUUUCCAUGCCUUUUUUGUUCUACAAAAGAAAAAAAAACAGGAAGACUGAAAGAACGGUUUAUAAUUGAUUCUUAAUAAGGAAGGAUAAUUAAACGAAUAAUAGUGCUAACGAUAACAAUUACUAGAUGCAGUAGUGAAUUUCUUAAGUGCAGCAUUUCAGCUAAUCCUCACAAGGGCCUCUGAGGGUGAUAUCAUUGCCUCCAUAUUUGAGGUGGGGAAACAGAGGCAGAGAGAGGCUGAGUUGCUUGCCUGACAUCGCACUGCUGGGAAGUGGCGCCAGUGUGGGAGCUGCCCUGGUUCAUGUGGGACACAGGGACAAUGACAAUUGGCCACACAAGAAUGUCCUUGGGCUCCCACUCCCAAAUCCCACAACUUCCCCUGUGUUUCUCUCUAUCCUUUCCCUUUUCUUUUCUUUUUUUUUUUUUUUUUUUUGAGACGGAGUCUUGCUCUGUCGCCCAGGCUGGAGUGCAGUGGCCAGAUCUCAGCUCACUGCAAGCUCCGCCUCCCGGGUUCACGCCAUUCUCCUGCCUCAGCCUCCCGAGUAGCUGGGACCACAGGCGCCCGCCACCUCGCCCGGCUAGUUUUUUGUAUUUUUAGUAGAGACGGGUUUCACCGU
This 4692-nucleotide long non-coding RNA is filed under the name Rhinopithecus bieti (black snub-nosed monkey). Its description in RNAcentral is "lncRNA (ENSRBIG00000046052.1)". The record is from RNAcentral. Lineage: Eukaryota; Metazoa; Chordata; Mammalia; Primates; Cercopithecidae.